GACGAACCGAGCGAACGUUAUUCGGAAUCACUGGGCUUAAAGGGCGCGUAGGCGGGCGGCCAAGUCAGGGGUGAAAGCCUCCAGCUCAACUGGAGAAGUGCCUUUGAUACUGGCCAUCUUGAGGGAGGUAGGGGCGUGCGGAACUUCCGGUGGAGCGGUGAAAUGCGUAGAUAUCGGAAGGAACACCGGUGGCGAAAGCGGCGCGCUGGACCUCUUCUGACGCUGAGGCGCGAAAGCCAGGGGAGCAAACGGG
Molecule: ribosomal RNA, 253 nt
Filed under: uncultured bacterium
Lineage: Bacteria
Description: partial 16S ribosomal RNA
Rfam family: Bacterial small subunit ribosomal RNA
Source: RNAcentral